This 301-nucleotide ribosomal RNA is filed under the name uncultured bacterium. RNAcentral's name for it is "partial 16S ribosomal RNA". It matches the Rfam family "Bacterial small subunit ribosomal RNA", at positions 509 to 809 of the family's 1533-position model. The record is from RNAcentral.
CAGUAGCCGCGGUAAUACGAAGGGUGCAAGCGUUACUCGGAAUUACUGGGCGUAAAGCGUGCGUGGGUGGUGGUUUAAGUCCGUUGUGAAAGCCCUGGGCUCAACCUGGGAAUUGCAGUGGAUACUGGGUCACUAGAGUGUGGUAGAGGAUAGUGGAAUUUCCGGUGUAGCAGUGAAAUGCGUAGAGAUCGGAAGGAACAUCUGUGGCGAAGGCGACUAUCUGGGCCAACACUGACACUGAGGCACGAAAGCGUGGGGAGCAAACAGGAUUAGAUACCCCGGUAGUCCCUGUCUCUUAUAA